This 509-nucleotide ribosomal RNA is filed under the name uncultured organism. RNAcentral describes it as "SSU rRNA". It matches the Rfam family "Bacterial small subunit ribosomal RNA", at positions 10 to 509 of the family's 1533-position model. The record is from RNAcentral.
AGUUUGAUCCUGGCUCAGGAUGAACGCUAGCUACAGGCUUAACACAUGCAAGGUCGAGGGGCAGCACUGGCGUAGCAAUACGCCUGGUGGCGACCGGCGCACGGGUGAGUAACGCGUAUCCAACCUGGCCCUUAGUAGGGAAUAGCCCGUAGAAAUGCGGAUUAAUGCCCUAUGUUGUUCGUCGAUGACAUCUGAGAUGAACCAAAGAUUGAUCGCUAAGGGAUGGGGAUGCGUCUGAUUAGGUAGUCGGCGGGGUAACGGCCCACCGAGCCUUCGAUCAGUAGGGGUUCUGAGAGGAAGGUCCCCCACAUUGGAACUGAGACACGGUCCAAACUCCUACGGGAGGCAGCAGUGAGGAAUAUUGGUCAAUGGGCGCAAGCCUGAACCAGCCAAGUAGCGUGCGGGAUGAAGGCCCUACGGGUUGUAAACCGCUUUUUCACGGGGAUAAAGAGGGCCACGCGUGGCCCGUUGCAGGUACCGUGCGAAUAAGGACCGGCUAAUUCCGUGCC